UAUUGUUAGACACCCUCACCUGGGCUGGGCGGAAGAUGCCCUCGAACCAAGCAACCGUGAAUGCAGCCGAGUACGUGAUCACGUCCUGUGAGUAAUAAUGCGCGCGACGGAGUAAGGAAGUCUUCGGACGGUGAUGUAAGCGCCUAGAACUGCACACGCGCCCGACCUCACUUUCGCCAACAAGCGGCAGAUGUGCCACUGCAGCGCUGAAGUUGUCCCGCAUCGUCCGUGCCCCCACUGCCUCUUCCCCCUGCUGUCCUCCUGUAUUCCCACCCAUUCCCAAGCCCUGCUCUGCCCUGAUGCUGUCUCCUAACACCAAUCCUGCGGCCCUCCAGCCGUUUGUGGGCUGAGCCCCCGAGCGCAGCGAUUUAUUGCCAUUUGUUGCCUGCUGUGCUCGUGCUUGACAGCGGGACGCGGCUGGACACAUGGCGGACGGUGACUGUGCAAACCGACCCCAGCUAUGUGCCUAUGUCCGAGAGAUGAGGCAGUACCGAAACCUUCGGCUUGUGACAUGUACCAACGUGGCAUGGGAACAGCCCAAUCUUCCCUUGAGAGGGUGAGCCACCUUUCUUGUCCUGUUACCCAGCCCUGCAGCCUUCUGGCCCGGCCUGCCCCUCACCGAGCUCAUCAUAGUGCCACGCCCGCACAGGCGGUCCAGGCUCCAGUCCAAAAAGGGGUUGCCAGUGCGCGCGAACUGCAUGUGGCCCGCCUGAGCAGCAGGCAGCAGAUGCAAUGGUGCAU
This 741-nucleotide long non-coding RNA is filed under the name Chlamydomonas reinhardtii. Its description in RNAcentral is "long non-coding RNA (CREI_LNC000244)". Lineage: Eukaryota; Viridiplantae; Chlorophyta; Chlorophyceae; Chlamydomonadales; Chlamydomonadaceae. The record is from RNAcentral.